This 327-nucleotide long non-coding RNA is filed under the name Lathyrus oleraceus (garden pea). Its description in RNAcentral is "Pisum sativum (pea) long non-coding RNA (PSAT_LNC015464)". The record is from RNAcentral. Lineage: Eukaryota; Viridiplantae; Streptophyta; Magnoliopsida; Fabales; Fabaceae.
UUAGAACACCGGUUAUGCAAUGUUAUGCUAUGCAAUGCAUGAAAUGUUUUCAAGGCCUUUUGGAAUUUAACUUUGCAUAAACUACCGAAAAGGGAAACUUUUUUUUUUGUUUUUUUUUUUGUUUUUUUUUUUCAUACAAAACAGAGCAAAGUUAAAUCCCUAAGUCCUUGAAAUGGUUAGUACAAUGUUAUGAUGUCAUGAUGUUAUGAUGUUAUGAUGUUAUGAGGUUAAAUAAAUAACAAGCACAAGCAAGUCACACAACCAUCAUUCCUAGGUUUUAAGGCUUGCAUGAGUUCCAUAGGUAAGUACCCUCCCCACUGAAGUUUG